RNAcentral lists this ribosomal RNA (497 nucleotides) under uncultured bacterium. RNAcentral describes it as "partial 16S ribosomal RNA". It matches the Rfam family "Bacterial small subunit ribosomal RNA", at positions 28 to 507 of the family's 1533-position model. The record is from RNAcentral.
GAUGAACGCUGGCGGCGUGCCUAAUACAUGCAAGUCGAGCGAACGGACGAGAAGCUUGCUUCUCUGAUGUUAGCGGCGGACGGGUGAGUAACACGUGGAUAACCUACCUAUAAGACCGGGAUAACUUCGGGAAACCGGUGCUAAUACCGGAUGAUAUUUUGAACCGCAUGGUUCAAAAGUGAAAGACGGUCUUGCUGUCACUUAUAGAUGGAUCCGCGCUGCAUUAGCUAGUUGGUAAGGUAACGGCUUACCAAGGCAACGAUGCAUAGCCGACCUGAGAGGGUGAUCGGCCACACUGGAACUGAGACACGGUCCAGACUCCUACGGGAGGCAGCAGUAGGGAAUCUUCCGCAAUGGGCGAAAGCCUGACGGAGCAACGCCGCGUGAGUGAUGAAGGUCUUCGGAUCGUAAAACUCUGUUAUUAGGGAAGAACAUAUGUGUAAGUAACUGUGCACAUCUUGACGGUACCUAAUCAGAAAGCCACGGCUAACUACGUG